This 301-nucleotide ribosomal RNA is filed under the name uncultured bacterium. Its description in RNAcentral is "partial 16S ribosomal RNA". It matches the Rfam family "Bacterial small subunit ribosomal RNA", at positions 509 to 807 of the family's 1533-position model. The record is from RNAcentral.
CAGUCGCCGCGGGAAUACGUAGGGCGCAAGCGUUAUCCGGAAUUAUUGGGCGUAAAGAGCUCGUAGGCGGUUUGUCGCGUCUGCCGUGAAAGUCCGGGGCUCAACCCCGGAUCUGCGGUGGGUACGGGCAGACUAGAGUGAUGUAGGGGAGACUGGAAUUCCUGGUGUAGCGGUGAAAUGCGCAGAUAUCAGGAGGAACACCGAUGGCGAAGGCAGGUCUCUGGGCAUUAACUGACGCUGAGGAGCGAAAGCAUGGGGAGCGAACAGGAUUAGAUACCCGUGUAGUCCCUGUCUCUUAUAC